GUCACCCCCCCCCCACACUCCUAGUUUGUGAUUGUGCAGAAGUGUGUGUAUCCUUAUGUGCCUGUAGCAGUAUUUUCGUUUAGUUUUGUUUAAACCGGAAGAGAUAAAACAAAAAAAUGCAAAUAGAUGUUAAUUAUUAUCACAAUGCAGGCCCUUUGUUCUUGCCAGUUCUCCACUUUGUGAGAGGGCCCUACCUACAGUCCUUUAAUCUAAUCUAACCCCUUUCAAUUCUUUAUUCUCGUCAGGUGACAGAGUGAUUUUGCAUAUAUUAUUUAAUAUGAUCUUUACAAUAAUUUAUUUCACAGAUUAAUCAGGACUUGAAGCCAUGGUCUUCCCUCUAUUUGUUAAUUAUAUUUUUAUUGGGCAUCUUCUACUUACCAGACACUUCUCUGGGUACUGGGGAUUGGUCGCUAACCUGAUUUUACAUGAGUUUAUAACCUCGACAGACGAUGAUCAAACAAGCAAAACGUAAACGCGGGGUGUGCGCACGCAUGCGCAAGCACAUGAAGGUGUAGGUGCGCGCAUGCGUGUAAGCCUGCGCGUGCGCGCAUGGUGUGUGCAUACGUAAGGGCUAAUAGAGGCACAUGCUUUGAAGAACAACGGAGAACAACAGAGAGUCCGAGACCGUGGGUACUUCGGUCAGUGUUGGCCCAGAAUGAAAAACACACCCCUUAUAAUCCGCGGAGGAUGUAAUCCACGACAUUAAUAACUGGUGUCAUGUCUGGAUUAGAUGUUCGAGUGCUACAAUGUACACCUUGUUCUUAACAAGUGCCACGAGGACUCAGUGUCAUCAUCUUGGGGUCUUCUUACUGCCAGUAAGUAGCCGUGUGAUUUAGUGUAGGGCACGUAAACUCCCUGUGCCUCAGUUUCCUAAAUCAAAUUUGAAGAGGUUGAGUUAAUUACUAAGACUCCUUUUAGAGCCAAAAAACCCAUGAUUAAUAUUUUUCUGUAAGCAUUAUAAUUUAUUCCUCAUUGGGAGGAACAUGCUCUGUGUCACCAUCACAUGUAGGAUAUCUAUAGAUGAUCAGUAUCCAAGUUUAGGAAAAGUAUCAAAUACCUCAGUACAUAAAUUUGUUAAUAUUUGGGUUGUUGGGGUUUUUUUUGUGUGUAUAUUUUUUAAUUAGUUCCUUUCUGAGGAUUGUGUCCAUUAAGAUACUUCAUGCUCAGCCAGUAUGUUUAUUAUUUUUCAAUAGUAUGCUUUAAAUAAAGGAGAGAACUUUAUUUGA
This is a long non-coding RNA of Herpailurus yagouaroundi (jaguarundi), 1226 nucleotides long. RefSeq lists it as uncharacterized. The record is from RefSeq and is a predicted model, not a curated record. Lineage: Eukaryota; Metazoa; Chordata; Mammalia; Carnivora; Felidae. The transcript is spliced from 3 exons.